UGAAUGUACAGGUUUAUGCCCAAUUAUGACUAGUAGCCGACCAGAAAAGCAAGUUCGAGGCAGCAUUUCAAUUGAUAGAUACUUCUUAAUACACAAGACCAACUAGUUACAAAAAACUCUGGUUAAACUAAGAUGUUUUAACUACACUUUCCAAGGAAUCCCCUUCAUUUCCAAAAUACAAACAAUAAAAUUAACCGCUAAACCUAAUAACUCAAAAAAAUAUUGA
Non-coding RNA from Schizosaccharomyces pombe (fission yeast), 226 nucleotides. Lineage: Eukaryota; Fungi; Ascomycota; Schizosaccharomycetes; Schizosaccharomycetales; Schizosaccharomycetaceae. The record is from the annotation of a GenBank genome assembly.